Non-coding RNA from Mycena metata, 94 nucleotides. The record is from the annotation of a GenBank genome assembly. Lineage: Eukaryota; Fungi; Basidiomycota; Agaricomycetes; Agaricales; Mycenaceae.
GGCCUGGUGGUGUAGUGGUUACAUGUCCUCUCAUUGUAAAAUCUUGUAAGCGUUUGCUGUGAGGAGGUUCCCUGUUCGAUUCGGGGUCAGGCCA